CCGGGAAGUGGGGGACAACGUUUCGAAAGGAACGCUAAUACCGCAUACCUCCUACGGGAGAAAGCAGGGGACCUUCGGGCCUUGCGCUAUCAGAUGAGCCUAGGUCGGAUUAGCUAGUUGGUGGGGUAAAGGCCUACCAAGGCGACGAUCCGUAACUGGUCUGAGAGGAUGAUCAGUCACACUGGAACUGAGACACGGUCCAGACUCCUACGGGAGGCAGCAGUGGGGAAUAUUGGACAAUGGGCGAAAGCCUGAUCCAGCCAUGCCGCGUGUGUGAAGAAGGUCUUCGGAUUGUAAAGCACUUUAAGUUGGGAGGAAGG
Molecule: ribosomal RNA, 320 nt
Filed under: Pseudomonas sp. Dahp4
Lineage: Bacteria; Pseudomonadati; Pseudomonadota; Gammaproteobacteria; Pseudomonadales; Pseudomonadaceae
Description: bacterial SSU rRNA
Rfam family: Bacterial small subunit ribosomal RNA
Source: RNAcentral